This is a long non-coding RNA of Brassica napus (rape), 2246 nucleotides long. RefSeq lists it as uncharacterized. The transcript is spliced from 4 exons. NCBI's taxonomy places the organism in Eukaryota, Viridiplantae, Streptophyta, Magnoliopsida, Brassicales, Brassicaceae. The record is from RefSeq and is a predicted model, not a curated record.
ACCAUUUAAAAAACAUAGGUGGGGGCUUUCGCAUACAUCGAUGAAGACCAUCUGCCUCUGCUAUCCAUGUGCAGUUGAGACAGAAUCCGGAAGCUUUAGCUUCUUCAUAAAUUGUGGAUCUGCCUAUGUUUAUGUUCUCACGACUAAAUCCACAGUGAAAGAGUGUAUCUUUAAAAAUAGCAACACCGAAACUCCAGUGAUAUAACUCACCUUUUUUUAAGAAACUAUAUCAUCAUCUCGAGAUAAACAAUGAACGCCAAGAAGAUAGUCGUUGUUAUUCUGAAUCAUGCGACUCUAGCGUUCACUUUCAGGUAUAUCUGGUUGCAAAGCUUUAGAACUGGUUAUAGGUACCACAAUCAUGAAGAUAGUAAACACUAAGCAUAGAGUAGAUCUGAGUUUUUUUUUGUAGAUGAGUUCAUCAUGAUGAUUUGUUAGUGUACAUACUCUUCUCAUGAGCUCAUAAUUUAUAUAUGUUACGAAGUGCUAAAUUCUAGCAAAAAUAAUUCAGAUUUAGCUUAUUUUGAACAAAUUAGUCAAAGUCAUUAAAAGUAUAUGUGAGCACUAUUAGGAAAUAAUAUAUAUUUUCUAGAAUAUUAUAUAUAUAUAUAUGAAUCUCUGAGAUAAGACUAAAUAUUACAUUUCUAUGUAAGAGGUUCAUUAUUUAUGGAAUAAAUACAUAAAUUUCAUUUUUUUCAUUUCUAUUUUCAAAAAUUUUAUCAUUUUUAUUAAAAUAGUUUUCUGCUGGCUAAUAAUAUAUAUAUAUAUAUAUACGAAACUCUGAGAUAAGACUAAAUAUUACAUUUCUACAUAAGAGGUUCAUUAUUUAUGGAAUAAAUACACAAAUUUUAUUUUUUUCAUUUCUAUUCACAACAAUUUUAUCAUUUUUUAUUAAAAUGGUUUUCUGCUAGCUAAUUAUGAUUUCCAAUUUUUUUAUCUUUUUAAUUUGUUAAUUACAAGCUUGUCAUCCUUUCUAUAUUUUAAUAAAUGUAUUUUCGGAGUAGGCAAGAACAAUCCAUAUAUAUAAAAAAGUGUGGAUAGUUUGUUCUGCAAUCAAUCAAGGUACUAUGUUGAAUGUUUAGACAAAAUAAUGUAUAAUAUAUAAAAAUGCCCAACUUUGAUCAUGUUGAAACCUUCCGAAAAAGAAUAAAAAAAAAUAAAAAAAUCAUGAGGACUUUGUCAGUUGUGCCCAAAUGAACAAAUAUCACACUUAUUGAUAGUGGAACAAUUGAACAUAUGUUUGAAAAGGGUGAACGUUUACAAAUAUAUAAUCUUCACUAUUAAAUUACCAGAAACUCAAUAUUGUUUUGAAGGUGUAGUAACAUUGUAAUGACCCACCACUCCCACCAUCUCCACUUCUUUCUCCAACCCCACCACUUCCACCUUCUUUUCCACCAUCUCCACCUUCUUACCCACCAUCUCCAUCUUCUUUAAAGCUUGAGAAAGAGAGAGAGAGAGGGAAAGAGAGAGAGAAGAAGGAGAAGAAGGAAGAAAGCUCACCUGAGCUCGUCGCCGGAGAAACCGUGCGCCGUGACCACGUUCAGCUUGCCACCACCGAUAAACACCCUAGACUACCAUCGUGUUCCUCUCGUCGAGACGAAUCCGUAGCCACCAAAAACGCCUCAAUCGGAGUCCGGACGAAGCCGCACGCGCCUCCGGAAGUUUUGCCUCUGCGCGCGCGUGAGGUACACGCGCCGCCGCCGGAAAACGUCGCCACCGCCAGACCACCGUCCCCCGCCGCCGGAAUAUCCGCCGUCGUCGCCGGUAACUCGCCGGUGACUCGGUCAACUCGUCCGAGUCAACUCAAUUUGGAGUCCAUUUGAGCAGCUGGAGGUCAUAUAUACCGCUUCUCUUCAUUGCUAAGCAGGAGAAAGCUUUCAAUGGAGAAGAGUAAUGGCCAGCGAGUGAUUCUGUUUCCACUUCCAUUGCAAGGCUGCAUCAACCCCAUGCUUCAGCUUGCAAUGAUCCUCCACUCAAGAGGUUUCUCCAUCACUGUGAUCCACACGCGCUUCAAUCCCCCAAAACCUUCAAGCCACCCUCUCUUCACCUUCUUACAGAUCCCAGAUGGCUUGUCUGAAGCUGAGACAAGAACUCACGAUGUCACACUUCUCCUAACGCGUCUCAACCGAAGCUGUAAGUCUCCGUUUCGUGACUGUUUGACUAAACUGUUGCAAUCUGAAACAGCGGAAGGGAAACAGAGGAUUAGCUGUUUGAUCCAUGAUGCUCAAUGGAUCUUCACACAAUCACUC